UACGUAGGGUGCGAGCGUUGCCCGGAUUUAUUGGGCGUAAAGGGCGCGUAGGCGGCUUGCCAAGUCGGGGGUGAAAUCCAGCAGCUUAACUGUUGAAGUGCCUUCGAUACUGGCAAGCUCGAGGAAGGUAGGGGUAUGUGGAACUUCUGGUGGAGCGGUGAAAUGCGUUGAUAUCAGAAGGAACGCCGGUGGCGAAAGCGACGUACUGGACCUUUUCUGACGCUGAGGCGCGAAAGCUAGGGGAGCAAACGGG
RNAcentral lists this ribosomal RNA (253 nucleotides) under uncultured prokaryote. RNAcentral's name for it is "partial 16S ribosomal RNA". It matches the Rfam family "Bacterial small subunit ribosomal RNA", at positions 524 to 776 of the family's 1533-position model. The record is from RNAcentral.